GAUGAACGCUAGCGGCAGGCCUAACACAUGCAAGCCGAGGGGUAGCAGGAUUAAGCUUGCUUAAUUGCUGACGACCGGCGCACGGGUGCGUAACGCGUAUGCAACCUACCUUAUACUGGGGUAUAGCCCGGAGAAAUUUGGAUUAAUCCCUCAUAGUACUAAUGAAUCGCAUGGUUUAUUAGUUAAAGCAUUGCGGUAUAAGAUGGGCAUGCGUCCUAUUAGCUAGAUGGUGAGGUAACGGCUCACCAUGGCUACGAUAGGUAGGGGGCCUGAGAGGGUGGUCCCCCACACUGGGACUGAGACACGGACCAGACUCCUACGGGAGGCAGCAGUGAGGAAUAUUGGUCAAUGGGCGCAAGCCUGAACCAGCCAUGCCGCGUGCAGGAAGAAUGCCCUAUGGGUUGUAAACUGCUUUUAUUUGGGAAUAAACCUCUUUACGUGUAGAGAGCUGAAGGUACCAAAUGAAUAAGCACCGGCUAACUCCGUGCCAGCCGCCGCCGUAA
RNAcentral lists this ribosomal RNA (503 nucleotides) under uncultured bacterium. RNAcentral describes it as "partial 16S ribosomal RNA". It matches the Rfam family "Bacterial small subunit ribosomal RNA", at positions 28 to 523 of the family's 1533-position model. The record is from RNAcentral.